UAAAGAUAUUAGGAGAGACUUUGUCAGAUGCCUUGCUGAAACCCAGGAAUAUAUGUUGUCUUUUCCUGAUUUAACAUUCUAGUAACCCCAUCAAUGGAGAGCACCUCAAACUCAGGAUACCCAAGACGGAAGCUCCUGAAAAGAAUUCACACAUCUUUCUGGAAUGGAGGGAAGGACCAAGAAGAUAACCUUAAACUGUCAUCUAAAAUGAGACCUUUAUUUGCAAAGUUAUGUUUGCUUAUACUGUCCUGAUAGUCUGAAUCAUUGGCUCUGUUCUCAAUAAAGUACAGAAGAUGGAUAGCUUGAGCA
This 309-nucleotide long non-coding RNA is filed under the name Phascolarctos cinereus (koala). RNAcentral's name for it is "lncRNA (ENSPCIG00000030834.1)". Lineage: Eukaryota; Metazoa; Chordata; Mammalia; Diprotodontia; Phascolarctidae. The record is from RNAcentral.